RNAcentral lists this ribosomal RNA (330 nucleotides) under uncultured bacterium. Its description in RNAcentral is "bacterial SSU rRNA". It matches the Rfam family "Bacterial small subunit ribosomal RNA", at positions 568 to 898 of the family's 1533-position model. The record is from RNAcentral.
UUCGUAGGUGGUGCGGCAAGUUGGGAGUGAAAUCUCUGGGCUUAACUCAGAGGCUGCUUUCAAAACUGCCGUGCUCGAGUGCGGGAGAGGCCAGUGGAAUUGCAGGUGUAGCGGUGAAAUGCGUAGAUAUCUGCAGGAACACCCGUGGCGAAGGCGGCUGGCUGGACCGCAACUGACACUGAGGAACGAAAGCUAGGGGAGCAAACAGGAUUAGAUACCCUGGUAGUCCUAGCCCUAAACCAUCAGAACUUGGGGUGGCCCGCGUAGGCGGGUCGUCCCGCAGCUAACGCGUUAAGUUCUGCGCCUGGGGAGUACGGUCGCAAGACUGAA